Molecule: unclassified non-coding RNA, 91 nt
Filed under: Komagataella phaffii CBS 7435
Lineage: Eukaryota; Fungi; Ascomycota; Pichiomycetes; Pichiales; Pichiaceae
Source: RNAcentral
CUUUCCCGUAUACCAACCUAUUCACACAAAAUGACUCCAAGAAAUAUGUGGCCAUGCCCAAUUUCUUCUGUCGAUCUCAUUCUGCGAAUGA